RNAcentral lists this long non-coding RNA (849 nucleotides) under Cavia porcellus (domestic guinea pig). Its description in RNAcentral is "lncRNA (ENSCPOG00000039985.1)". The record is from RNAcentral. Lineage: Eukaryota; Metazoa; Chordata; Mammalia; Rodentia; Caviidae.
UCUAGGCUCAUUUUUUGCUUGCACUUGCGUUUCCUCUGCUGAGACAUGGGGUGGCGAUCUUUGUUAAGCAAUGCCAUGGGUGGGCUUGCAGGAGAGAGGAGUCUGUGGAAGAUAAAAGGCCGCUGCUCUGAAGGAAAGUGGCCUCAGGAUCCUCCUUUCAGGGAAAACAUUCAUUCCUUUCUCUUUCGGCUGCAAAUGAUAGAACUGAGGUUCUCUUCCAUGGGAAAAGUGAACCAUCGGUCCAGAACAAGGACCCCGGGACGUCACCCUCACCUGGCUGGGUCCCAAGUCCCUGGAACUGGUUCCCUUUUCUGUGGCCGGUAAAGAGCCAAAAGAAGCACAAUAUGAACUUGACACUGAGGCUCCUCACGAUGCAGACCUGGUGCCAGAAGAUGGUUCUUCUGAAAGCAAAGAAAAACCCAAUUACCUUCAGAGGAAAGUUGACAACAGCAGGGCUCAGCAACAUGGAGUGAUGUGGGCUCCAGUGUCCCCUGGAUCCCAAGCUUGCCCAUGUUGCUCAUCUUCAGAAACUAGUCUCUCUGAGGCCGUCUUUGUUUUUUUUUUUUUUUUUUUUUUUUUUUGCCAACCUAAAAGGAAGGUUUUCCUUAAUCAGAGAUGACGGAGAGAACACAUUGAAAAUGCACUGCUGUAUUAUACUUUGGCUGGACCUGGCCAAUCAUUCGAGUGUGUUGGGUGUUCAAAGUGCACAGCAAGUUAUUGUUGAGAGCCCUGUGACACCCAGGGGCAUCACUGUGAUCCCAGGGGACGGAUUUUAGGUCACACCUUUAUUCACACCACAGCUUCAGGCUCUGGAGAAUACCCAGACAGGUCAAUGAACCUCAACUGAUA